CGUAAUUCAAAUACUGAAAUUGAAGUUCUUAAUAAAAAAGAUGAUAUCGAGUCUGGGGUUGUUCUGGGAUCACAGACAGUACUCAAUGCCAAUGCGCCUUCUUCACCAAUAUUUAAAGAUUCCAGUAUGUCUCAGAAAAACAAAGGCAUUAUUCCAACUGAGAAAGUGGAAAAUAAAAAGUG
Long non-coding RNA from Trichoplusia ni (cabbage looper), 182 nucleotides. RefSeq lists it as uncharacterized. The record is from RefSeq and is a predicted model, not a curated record. The transcript has 3 exons. NCBI's taxonomy places the organism in Eukaryota, Metazoa, Arthropoda, Insecta, Lepidoptera, Noctuidae.